UACGUAGGUGGCAAGCGUUGUCCGGAAUAACUGGGCGUAAAGCGCAUGUAGACGGCAUAGCAAGCCAAGUGUGAAAUUUAGGGGCUUAACCUCUAAACUGCGCUUGGAACUGCUGAGCUUGAGUGCAGGAGAGGCAAGUGGAAUUCCCAGUGUAGCAGUGAAAUGCGUAGAUAUUGGGAGGAACACCAGUGGCGGAGGCGACUUGCUGGACUGCAACUGACGUUGGGAUGCGAAAGCUAGGGGAGCAAACGGG
This 253-nucleotide ribosomal RNA is filed under the name uncultured bacterium. RNAcentral's name for it is "partial 16S ribosomal RNA". It matches the Rfam family "Bacterial small subunit ribosomal RNA", at positions 524 to 776 of the family's 1533-position model. The record is from RNAcentral.